CAUAUACUUAAUAGUAUGGUUACAUACAUAGGUAUCAUAGUGUGAUAGAUACCAUAGUUUUCUUCGGUUUUUAACUUUAUAGGUUGCUGCAUAGAGAUUCUAGUAUUAAUUUCUUGAAGGUUUUUUAAGCUUACUGAGUUAAGGGUGAGUGCAGGCUGUAAGCUUUGAUCGGCAGUGGUGUAAUUAGGCAUAUUCAAUAAUUUCAGCGCCUGUCCUUUUAA
This 221-nucleotide unclassified non-coding RNA is filed under the name Melitaea cinxia (Glanville fritillary). Its description in RNAcentral is "misc RNA ENSMCXG00005015619.1". The record is from RNAcentral. Lineage: Eukaryota; Metazoa; Arthropoda; Insecta; Lepidoptera; Nymphalidae.